RNAcentral lists this ribosomal RNA (210 nucleotides) under Salmonella enterica subsp. enterica serovar Agona str. 0322. RNAcentral's name for it is "partial 23S ribosomal RNA". It matches the Rfam family "Bacterial large subunit ribosomal RNA", at positions 2723 to 2925 of the family's 2925-position model. The record is from RNAcentral. Lineage: Bacteria; Pseudomonadati; Pseudomonadota; Gammaproteobacteria; Enterobacterales; Enterobacteriaceae.
GUCAUGCCAAUGGCACUGCCCGGUAGCUAAAUGCGGAAGAGAUAAGUGCUGAAAGCAUCUAAGCACGAAACUUGCCCCGAGAUGAGUUCUCCCUGAGACUUAAAGUCUCCUGAAGGAACGUUGAAGACGACGACGUUGAUAGGCCGGGUGUGUAAGCGCAGCGAUGCGUUGAGCUAACCGGUACUAAUGAACCGUGAGGCUUAACCUUAC